Molecule: ribosomal RNA, 275 nt
Filed under: uncultured Lachnospiraceae bacterium
Lineage: Bacteria; Bacillati; Bacillota; Clostridia; Lachnospirales; Lachnospiraceae
Description: partial 16S ribosomal RNA
Rfam family: Bacterial small subunit ribosomal RNA
Source: RNAcentral
UGAGAUCUUCGGAUGGAUUUAAAACAGCUUAGUGGCGGACGGGUGAGUAACGCGUGGGUAACCUGCCUCACACUGGGGGAUAACAGCUGGAAACGGCUGCUAAUACCGCAUAAGCGCACAGAGCUGCAUGGCUCAGUGUGAAAAACUCCGGUGGUAUGGGAUGGGCCCGCGUCUGAUUAGGCAGUUGGCGGGGUAACGGCCCACCAAACCGACGAUCAGUAGCCGGCCUGAGAGGGCGGCCGGCCACAUUGGAACUGAGACACGGUCCAAACUCC